AUGCCGUUGUGGCCGAACAGCAACGAGAUGUCGGACGACGAUGAUGAGUACAUGAGUGAGUUCAGCAGCAUGCAGAUGGAGUACUUUCAAACUCCUGACACUGUGAUAGACCCUAGUUUCUGUGGGCUUGUGACUGAAUCUGAUAGAAGGUGCAUCCUGCACAGGCAGAGGGCGGGCAAGUUUGUGGCAUUUGAAGGCACUGACACUGUCAAGAGAUUCAUAGGAUGUGCUACUGAGGAUGGUGUGAACUAUGGUGUUCUGGAGUGGGUAGAUGCCCCCUGGCCUGUAAUUCUGUGA
Molecule: ribosomal RNA, 297 nt
Filed under: Triticum aestivum (bread wheat)
Lineage: Eukaryota; Viridiplantae; Streptophyta; Magnoliopsida; Poales; Poaceae
Description: partial small subunit ribosomal RNA
Source: RNAcentral